This 678-nucleotide ribosomal RNA is filed under the name Triticum aestivum (bread wheat). Its description in RNAcentral is "partial small subunit ribosomal RNA". The record is from RNAcentral. Lineage: Eukaryota; Viridiplantae; Streptophyta; Magnoliopsida; Poales; Poaceae.
AUGAUGGAGUACUAUCACAUUGCCAAUAAGAUGUUUAAUAGUGAGGAUGAAGGUUAUACAUUCUAUAACAAAUAUGGUCUUGAGAAAGGUUUUAGUGUCCGGAGAAGCUAUGUCGAGUGGGAUGGAUCCAACUGCCAUAUAAUUUUAAGGAAAUUUGUGUGUAGUCGUGAAGGGGUUCGUGAAGAGAAGCACAUGAAGAGGAAGAUGGAAGAUAGAAAGAGGAGGCCACGGAGUAUAACUCGUGUAGGGUGUAAAGCUAAAUUGGUGAUUGCAAGACAGGAGGAAACAUGUCAGUGGUUUGUCAAGGAUUUCAUCGAUGAACACAACCAUCCUCUAGCCCCACGGGAUCUGUCGUGUCUUUUGCGUUCACACAGAAGAAUUAGCGAUGAGCAGAAAGCGGACAUUGCAGACAUGGAAAAAUCUGGGAUCAGAAAACACCAUAUUAUGGAUAUUAUGUGCAUGCAAUACGGUGGAUAUGAUGAGGUUGGAUGCAUUAUGAGGGACAUUUACAAUUUCUGCCAUGCUAACAAGCAGGAAACAAUUUCUUCCAGGGAUGCUCAAACGGUGAUCAAUCACAUGGUGGCGAGGCAAGAGCAAGAUUCAGAUUUUGUCUUCAGGUACUUGGUUGAUGAAGCUGGCCAUCUGAAGGGACUGUUCUGGUGUGAUAGUCAAUCCUGA